RNAcentral lists this ribosomal RNA (452 nucleotides) under uncultured bacterium. Its description in RNAcentral is "bacterial SSU rRNA". It matches the Rfam family "Bacterial small subunit ribosomal RNA", at positions 335 to 799 of the family's 1533-position model. The record is from RNAcentral.
ACUCCUACGGGAGGCAGCAGUGGGGAAUAUUGCACAAUGGGCGCAAGCCUGAUGCAGCAACGCCGUGUGAGUGAAGAAGGUUUUCGGAUCGUAAAACUCUGUCCUAAGGGAAGAAACAAAUGACGGUACCUUAGGACGGAAGCCCCGGCUAACUACGUGCCAGCAGCCGCGGUAAUACGUAGGGGGCAAGCGUUAUCCGGAAUCACUGGGCGUAAAGGGUGCGUAGGCGGCUUAGCAAGCCAGGGGUGAAAGGCAUUGGCUCAACCAAUGUAAGCCUUUGGAACUGUUAAGCUUGAGUGCAGGAGAGGUAAGUGGAAUUCCUAGUGUAGAGGUGAAAUUCGUAGAUAUUAGGAGGAACACCAGUGGCGAAGGCGACUUACUGGACUGUAACUGACGCUGAUGCACGAAAGCGUGGGUAGCGAACAGGGAUUAGAUACCCUGGUAGCACAGAG